AGCCUGAACGCUGGCGGCGUGGCUAAGACAUGCAAGUCGUACGGAGGUAGCAAUACCUCAGUGGCGAACGGGUGAGUAAUGAAUCGCUAACGUGCCCUGGACUUCGGGAUAGCUAUCCGAAAGGGUAGGUAAUACCGGGUGAUAUACCCUUUCCGCAUGGAAGGGGUCUCAAAGGUCCGCCGGUCUUCGGUGGAUGGUCUGGGAGCGGGCGAUUUCGUAUCAGCUAGUUGGUGGGGUAACGGCCCACCAAGGCGACGACGCGUAGCCGGACUGAGAGGUUGGCCGGCCACAUUGGGACUGAGACACUGCCCAGACUCCUACGGGGGCUGCAGUAACGAAUCUUCCGCAAUGCACGAAAGUGUGACGGAGCGACGCCGCGUGGAGGACGAAGUUCUUCGGAAUGUAAACUCCUGUCAGGGGAAAGAAAGUUCUGAUCUACCCCAGAGGAAGAGGCGGCUAACUCUGUGCCAGCAGCCGC
Molecule: ribosomal RNA, 478 nt
Filed under: uncultured bacterium
Lineage: Bacteria
Description: SSU rRNA
Rfam family: Bacterial small subunit ribosomal RNA
Source: RNAcentral